This 1754-nucleotide long non-coding RNA is filed under the name Actinia tenebrosa (Australian red waratah sea anemone). Its description in RNAcentral is "uncharacterized LOC116296807". The record is from RNAcentral. Lineage: Eukaryota; Metazoa; Cnidaria; Anthozoa; Actiniaria; Actiniidae.
GGGAAAUACGAAUGUUCUUUACACAGCGGUAAAGGAAAACUCCAGCAAACUAGAAAUUAUUUUAAACCUACGAGUUUGGAGUCCUAAAAACGCCGUAAAAAGUAUUUUUUAAAAAAAUUAUCGUCGCACAAGGACUCAGAGGUGCAUAAAUUGCAUAGUGAGAAUUUUCUGGUUUCCAUUGUUCACAAAAAUGUCAAGGCCAUUAAUAUUAACUCUUCUGGCUACUUUCCUCUCCAUGACAACCAAACAAGUAGUCCUAGCUAAACAUAACAUCACAGCUGCCCUUGUCGCAUUGGCUCCAUUACCUGAAGAAGCAGAGACAAAACUAUCCAUAGAAGAAAUCCAAAGCUCAGCACUAGGUUUACAAUUCAAUUGGUUUAUGGUUGCUAUGGUUAUGGCUUUUACAAUUAUUGUCAUUCGAAUACGAUGAGAAUGGCUUGGGUAAAGUGAUGGAUGAAAAUUUAGAGAAUAUUUUUACAUAAUGUUUUUAGGAUUUAAUUGUUAAAAAUGAUAAAUAGUUGCUAUGGUAAUGGCNUAUUGUAAGGACCAUAUGAGAUUAUGCAGCGUGCAAGAACUAAAAAACGUACAAAUGACCACCAACUACAGGUAAGCUGGUGGAAAAAUAAUUUUAAAUAUGCCACAAAAUGAUCAUUAANGAAAGUAUUUUCACUCAAGAGUCACAAUAGACCUCUAAUAUCAGGCUAGCACNAUUCUUUCCCACUUUNAGACCACUUGUCACUCUCUUGAGAAUCAUUUAUUUACUGGCGACACUUGAAAAAAUCGAGUGCAUUCCGACAGACUGCAAGGGAUUCAUUAAUAUUAUUAAGUGCUGCUCUGGUUAAGUGAUUUGAUAGUGACUCAUGGAUUCAGUGUUUGCUCUUUUUCAGAGCGUAAACUACAACUUAUGAAAUCCAUCUAUCUAUACCUUAAUUCGUAUCCAGAAUUUUCGAUUCAUAAAUCUCAGCAAGAGAAAAUGAACUAAGAGAAGGAAUCCCCGCNCCCCAUCAUGAGCACUCUUUGAUGCUAUUUUUAGAAUCUUUGAUGCUAUUUUUAGAAUCNUUGAUUUGAUUGUUUGCUGAUUGCUCAAGUUUUCUUGUUUUUCGUAAAAACGUGAGCAAUCAGCGUAGAGCGUGUGCAGUAUGUGCAUGCAGAAAAACGAACAAUGACAAAUGUGAUUCUCAAAAUUUUCUCUUGAUCUCAGUGAUCAAAGUAUCUCAUCUCUGAAGAUAAGAAAAGUUUGACAAGAGGAAUUUUCCUGUCUGGGAAUAUAAGGGAUAUUCACAAGAAAUAUAAUAAAAUACCCCUAAAUUAAAGAUAAUAAUAUGAAUAAUAAAUGAAUAGAAUAAAUCCCUAAAAAGCCUUACCCUGCAGUCCCUGCUCAAGGAACCAUAAUGUUGGUUGUUAGAGAGGUUUACAUAAACCCAUGAAACAAAGUGUACUAAUUGUAUAGGAAAUCGCACAAUCUCAAGUACAAUUGGAAAUUUAUACUGUAGGUACGAGUGACGUUUUGGAAGUUUUCAAAAUUGGACGAGCCUUUAGGAGAGUUCAAUUUGAGAACUUUCAAAACCUCACAAGUAUCUAUAAAUUCUGAAUUGUAUGAGAAGAUUGUUUGAUUUUUUGUUUAUAAUACACUCAAAAAAAUUGAGUGUAUAGUCUGAUAACCACAAUAGAAAACAAAAGAAUUAGAGUAACAGUACUAAAUAAGCUAAAGUGUAUUUGACUGGUUAAUGAAAACCANUCUAAUGUGGAGUGAA